Papilio xuthus (Asian swallowtail) is the source of this 717-nucleotide long non-coding RNA. RefSeq lists it as uncharacterized. The transcript has 4 exons. Lineage: Eukaryota; Metazoa; Arthropoda; Insecta; Lepidoptera; Papilionidae. The record is from RefSeq and is a predicted model, not a curated record.
UUAUUGUUAUUCGAAUCAUUCGGUUACAGGACAUCAAUCAGUUCAGACCAAACAAUAUUAACCAAUCUUUACCAAACAUUAAUUAUGAAACUGUUUAUUGUAAUCGCUCUGGCUGUAGUGAGCCAAUGUGAAGGUGGGCUGACGAAAUGUGAAAUGAUAGAAGAACUAAUUAAACGUGGAAUCCCGCGGGACGCAAUGAAGGGCUGGGAUUGUUUCGUGGAUAGUGGGACUUCACAGCAAACUGAUAUCAUCUUCAAGCCCAACGCCGAUGGUUCCCGAGGCUACGGCCAGCUACAGAUUAAUAACAAGUUUUUGUGCACAAUUACUAAUAACCACGCUAAGAAUUGCAAUGUUUAUUUUGUGUUUUUCAAUGGAGAAAGAGCAAACUUGCAACGGCUCCUCGAUUUUUAAGUGAUCCGACGCCCAUAGACAACAGAGGAACCGCAAACGCACUUUUAAAUCGGAACGAAGCAAAAGCUGUAAUUUCCAAGCAGCAAAUUAUCCAGCAGUUUCUAUAGACAUCAGUGGUUUUUUCCUUAACCUUGACGUGGCGAAAUUCCAAAACAACAGGAGCGUUAUUAAGGAAAUAACUACGCAAAUACCGGUUUGUAAUAAAAUAUAGAACCUAUAACAGACGAAAUAACGAAGACUGCAGUUUACUAAGAAGAUUUAUCAGGGACAUGACUUCCACGGUUGGUAUCAACAAGGCUGGAAGAA